RNAcentral lists this ribosomal RNA (717 nucleotides) under uncultured Chryseobacterium sp. Its description in RNAcentral is "bacterial SSU rRNA". It matches the Rfam family "Bacterial small subunit ribosomal RNA", at positions 8 to 725 of the family's 1533-position model. Lineage: Bacteria; Pseudomonadati; Bacteroidota; Flavobacteriia; Flavobacteriales; Weeksellaceae. The record is from RNAcentral.
AGAGUUUGAUCCUGGCUCAGGAUGAACGCUAGCGGGAGGCCUAACACAUGCAAGCCGAGCGGUAUUUGUCCUUCGGGACGGAGAGAGCGGCGUACGGGUGCGGAACACGUGUGCAACCUGCCUUUAUCUGGGGGAUAGCCUUUCGAAAGGAAGAUUAAUACCCCAUAACAUAUGAUACGGCAUCGUAUUAUAUUGAAAACUCCGGUGGAUAGAGAUGGGCACGCGCAAGAUUAGAUAGUUGGUGAGGUAACGGCUCACCAAGUCAGUGAUCUUUAGGGGGCCUGAGAGGGUGAUCCCCCACACUGGUACUGAGACACGGACCAGACUCCUACGGGAGGCAGCAGUGAGGAAUAUUGGACAAUGGGUGAGAGCCUGAUCCAGCCAUCCCGCGUGAAGGACUAAGGCCCUAUGGGUUGUAAACUUCUUUUAUACUGGGAUAAACCUACUUACGUGUAAGUAGCUGAAGGUACAGUAUGAAUAAGCACCGGCUAACUCCGUGCCAGCAGCCGCGGUAAUACGGAGGGUGCAAGCGUUAUCCGGAUUUAUUGGGUUUAAAGGGUCCGUAGGCGGAUCCGUAAGUCAGUGGUGAAAUCUCAUAGCUUAACUAUGAAACUGCCAUUGAUACUGCGGGUCUUGAGUGAGAUUGAGGUAGCUGGAAUAAGUAGUGUAGCGGUGAAAUGCAUAGAUAUUACUUAGAACACCAAUUGCGAAGGCAGG